UACGAAGGGGGCUAGCGUUGUUCGGAAUUACUGGGCGUAAAGCGCGCGCAGGCGGUUCGAUAAGUUGGGGGUGAAAUCCCUGGGCUCAAACCAGGAAUGGCCUUCAAGACUGUCGAGCUAGAGGACGAGAGAGGUGAGUGGAAUUCCCAGUGUAGAGGUGAAAUUCGUAGAUAUUGGGAAGAACACCGGUGGCGAAGGCGGCUCACUGGCUCGUUUCUGACGCUGAGGCGCGAAAGCGUGGGGAGCAAACAGG
Molecule: ribosomal RNA, 253 nt
Filed under: uncultured bacterium
Lineage: Bacteria
Description: partial 16S ribosomal RNA
Rfam family: Bacterial small subunit ribosomal RNA
Source: RNAcentral